CUUUGCAUUGCAUCAAAAGCUGUGCGUCCAACGAGGAAAAAUUUCAAGUGCUGCGAUACAAGCUGUAAGGCCUCUUACGAUUAGUUCUCAGAAAGCGAAAUGUAAUUGAAUGUGAUAUGAAAUGUUCUCAGAUAACAUCAGCGUAUCUCGGUUUACACUUCGUAAGCAACUUGGGGGACCAUUUUUGCUGCUGUGCACAAAAAAAGAAGAAGACAGAAACUAAAGGCGGCAAGACUCGAAGCCUGGGGAGCACGCCAGGAACUGACUGGAAUGAGAGAGGCCUUCAACAUUGCUCAAUUACGCCGGUCUUCGUGGUCACCAGGGAUGCAUGAAAUGUCACUGCCGAAGACACUUACCCCCUUCGGCAUCAGGAUUUGCGCAAAGGGGCGUCACGUCGCAGGAGCAUCUUCCAUACCUCUUCUAGACGGUUCGAAACGCUUUGCACGACGUGGCCUUGAAGCUGUCUCGGCUGUCGCUUUAGCUGUCUACGUAGGCUGUCUCCGAUGCCAG
Molecule: long non-coding RNA, 510 nt
Organism: Dermacentor albipictus
Lineage: Eukaryota; Metazoa; Arthropoda; Arachnida; Ixodida; Ixodidae
Source: RefSeq, a predicted model, not a curated record